This 48-nucleotide non-coding RNA is filed under the name Schistosoma mattheei. The record is from RNAcentral. Lineage: Eukaryota; Metazoa; Platyhelminthes; Trematoda; Strigeidida; Schistosomatidae.
AUCCAACUGACCAGUCCCAAAUAGGACGAAACAAGAGUCAAACUGGAU